UACGGAGGGAGCUAGCGUUAUUCGGAAUUACUGGGCGUAAAGCGUACGUAGGCGGCUUUGUAAGUUAGAGGUGAAAGCCUGGAGCUCAACUCCAGAACUGCCUUAAAACUGCAUCGCUUGAAUCCAGGAGAGGUGAGUGGAAUUCCGAGUGUAGAGGUGAAAUUCGUAGAUAUUCGGAAGAACACCAGUGGCGAAGGCGACUUACUGGGACACAUAUUUGACGCUGAGGUGCGAA
This 235-nucleotide ribosomal RNA is filed under the name uncultured bacterium. Its description in RNAcentral is "partial 16S ribosomal RNA". It matches the Rfam family "Bacterial small subunit ribosomal RNA", at positions 524 to 757 of the family's 1533-position model. The record is from RNAcentral.